Molecule: ribosomal RNA, 447 nt
Filed under: uncultured bacterium
Lineage: Bacteria
Description: partial 16S ribosomal RNA
Rfam family: Bacterial small subunit ribosomal RNA
Source: RNAcentral
AACGAACGCUGGCGGCAGGCUUAACACAUGCAAGUCGAACGCCCCGCAAGGGGAGUGGCAGACGGGUGAGUAACGCGUGGGAAUCUACCUAGUUCUACGGAACAACUGAGGGAAACUUCAGCUAAUACCGUAUACGCCCUACGGGGGAAAGAUUUAUCGGAAUUAGAUGAGCCCGCGUUGGAUUAGCUAGUUGGUGGGGUAAUGGCCUACCAAGGCGACGAUCCAUAGCUGGUCUGAGAGGAUGAUCAGCCACACUGGGACUGAGACACGGCCCAGACUCCUACGGGAGGCAGCAGUGGGGAAUAUUGGACAAUGGGCGCAAGCCUGAUCCAGCCAUGCCGCGUGAGUGAUGAAGGCCUUAGGGUUGUAAAGCUCUUUCAGUGGGGAAGAUAAUGACGGUACCCACAGAAGAAGCCCCGGCUAACUUCGUGCCAGCAGCCGCGGUAA